Dreissena polymorpha is the source of this 942-nucleotide long non-coding RNA. RefSeq lists it as uncharacterized. Lineage: Eukaryota; Metazoa; Mollusca; Bivalvia; Myida; Dreissenidae. The record is from RefSeq and is a predicted model, not a curated record. The transcript is spliced from 2 exons.
GCGGGCGGCGGGCGGAAGGCAUCACUUUGUCCGGACUCUAAUUCAAAUUGUAUUCAUCCGAUCUUCACCAAACUUGGUCAGCAGUUGCAUCUAGUUGAUAUCUAGGCCAAGUUCGAAUAUGGGUCAUGCCGGGUCAAAAACUAGGUCAUAGGGUCAAUUAGUGCAUUUUCAACGGCGCCACAUUGUCCGGACUCUAAUUCAAAUUGUAUUCAUCCGAUCUUCACCAAACUUGGUCAGUAGUUGCAUCUAGUUGAUAUCUAGGUCAAGUCCGAAUAUGGGUCAUGCUGGGUCAAAAACUAGGUCAAAGGGUCAAUUAGUGCAUUUUACUUUGUCCGGACUCUAAUUCAAAUUGUAUAAAUCUUAUCUUCACCAAACUUGGUCAGUAGUUGCAUCUAGUUGAUAUCUAGGCCAAGUUCGAAUAUGGGUCAUGCCAGGUAAAAAACUAGGUCAUAGGGUCAAUUAGUCCAUUUUCAACAGCGCCACUUUGUCCGGACUCUUAUUCAAAUUGUAUUCAUCCGAUCUUUACCAAACUUGGUCAGUAGUUGCAUCUAGUUGAUAUCUAGGUCAAGUUCGAAUAUGGGUCAUGUCGGGUCAAGAACUAGGUCAUAGGGUCAAUUAGUGCAUUUUCAACGGCGCCACUUUGUCCGGACUCUAAUUCAAAUUGUAUUCAUCCGAAACUUUUAAACAACUUUUUAUCCUGCGUCAAAGUGGUAUGGGGGUCUAAACAAUUAUGAUUUAAAUAUUGUGUUUUAGAGAACAAAUGAGACUAAGUGUACACUUAUUGAUAUCAAUGCAUAUAUAUGAAUAUAUCAGUUAUAUAAGUUGUUGUUGUUUUUUUUUGCUUAUUUCCAAAACAAAUACAUCAAUCAUCAGUGUAUCAUCUCCAAUGGCACACGAAUCGGGCGUAUAUUGCUCCGUCAUGCGGCGCUCUUGUUUAUUUUA